RNAcentral lists this ribosomal RNA (253 nucleotides) under uncultured bacterium. RNAcentral describes it as "partial 16S ribosomal RNA". It matches the Rfam family "Bacterial small subunit ribosomal RNA", at positions 524 to 776 of the family's 1533-position model. The record is from RNAcentral.
UACGAAGGGGGCUAGCGUUGCUCGGAAUCACUGGGCGUAAAGGGUGCGUAGGCGGGUCUUUAAGUCAGGGGGGAAAUCCUGGAGCUCAACUCCAGAACUGCCUUUGAUACUGAAGAUCUUGAGUUCGGGAGAGGUGAGUGGAACUGCGAGUGUAGAGGUGAAAUUCGUAGAUAUUCGCAAGAACACCAGUGGCGAAGGCGGCUCACUGGCCCGAUACUGACGCUGAGGCACGAAAGCGUGGGGAGUAAACAGG